CUCGAAAGGGUGAGGAACACGUGGGCAAUCUACCUCUAAGUUGGGGACAACCUCGGGAAACUGGGGCUAAUACCGGAUGUGGUUAUCUGUCGCAUGGCAGAAUAAUUAAAGGUGGGGACUUCGAUUUAUCGAGGCCUGCCGCUUGGAGAGGAGCCCGCGUCCCAUCAGCUUGUUGGUAAGGUAACGGCUUACCAAGGCUUACGGGUAGCUGGUCUGAGAAGAUGGUCAGCCACACUGGGACUGAGACACUGCCCAGACUCCUACGGGAGGCUGCAGUCGAGAAUCAUUCGCAAUGCGCGAAAGCGUGACGAUGCGACGCUGCGUGGAGGAUGACGGCCUUAGGGUUGUAAACUCCUGUCAUUCGGGAAAAACUAUCUGGGAGGUAAUACCCCCUGGAUUUGAUGGUACCGAAAGAGGAAGCCACGGCUAACUCUGUGCCAGCAGCCGCGGUAAUACAGAGGUGGCUAGCGUUGUUCGGAUUUACUGGGCGUAAAGGGUGCGUAGGUGGUAAUGUAUGUCGGGUGUGAAAUCCCACGGCUCAACCGUGGAACUGCACUCGAAACUGCAUAACUUGAGUGUAGGAGGGGAGAGCGGAAUUCUUGGUGUAGCGGUGAAAUGCGUUGAUAUCAAGAAGAACACCGGCGGCGAAGGCGGCUCUCUGGAAUACUACUGACACUGAGGCACGAAAGCUGGGGGAGCGAACAGGAUUAGAUACCCUGGUAGUCCCAGCCGUAAACGGUGCACACUUGGUGUGGAGGGAAUUGACCCCCUCCGUGCCGGAGCUAACGCGUUAAGUGUGCCGCCUGGGGAGUACGGCCGCAAGGCUAAAACUCAAAGAAAUUGACGGGGGCCCGCACAAGCGGAGGAGCAUGUGGCUUAAUUCGAUGCAACGCGAAGAACCUUACCAGGGCUUGACAUAUACCUGCACGCCCCGUGAAAGCGGGGAAGCCUUCGAGGGUGGUAUACAGGUGCUGCAUGGCUGUCGUCAGUUCGUGCCGUGAGGUGUUGGGUUAAGUCCCGCAACGAACGCAACCCUUGUGUUUAGUUGCCACUCCUGGUGUUAAGCAAGGAAGCACUCUAAACAGACUGCCCGUGCAAGCGGGAGGAAGGUGGGGAUGACGUCAAGUCAGUAUGGCCCUUACGCCCUGGGCUGCACACGUGCUACAAUGACAGGUACAAUGGGAUGCUAAGUCGCGAGGCGGAGCAAAUCCUCAAAACCUGCCUCAGUUCGGAUUGGAGUCUGCAACUCGACUCCAUGAAGUUGGAUUCGCUAGUAAUGCCGUAUCAGCUACGACGGCGUGAAUACGUUCCCGGGCCUUGUACACACCGCCCGUCACAUCAUGAAAGCCGUCUGCACCCGAAGUCGCUGAGCCAAUCCCUCACGGGAAGGCAGGUGCCGAAGGUGUGGGUGGUGAUUGGGAUGAAGUCGUAACAAGGUA
RNAcentral lists this ribosomal RNA (1439 nucleotides) under metagenome. RNAcentral's name for it is "bacterial SSU rRNA". It matches the Rfam family "Bacterial small subunit ribosomal RNA". The record is from RNAcentral.